Homo sapiens (human) is the source of this 353-nucleotide non-coding RNA. Lineage: Eukaryota; Metazoa; Chordata; Mammalia; Primates; Hominidae. The record is from the annotation of a RefSeq genome assembly.
AUGGAGUUUGUGCUGAGCUGGGUUUUCCUUGUUGCUAUUUUAAAACGUAUCCAGUGUGAGAUGCAGCUGGUGGAGUCUGGGGGAGGCUUGGCAAAGCCUGCGUGGUCCCCGAGACUCUCCUGUGCAGCCUCUCAAUUCACCUUCAGUAGCUACUACAUGAACUGUGUCCGCCAGGCUCCAGGGAAUGGGCUGGAGUUGGUUGGACAAGUUAAUCCUAAUGGGGGUAGCACAUACCUCAUAGACUCCGGUAAGGACCGAUUCAAUACCUCCAGAGAUAACGCCAAGAACACACUUCAUCUGCAAAUGAACAGCCUGAAAACCGAGGACACGGCCCUGUAUUAGUGUACCAGAGA